GACGAACGCUGGCGGCGUGCCUAAUACAUGCAAGUAGAACGCUGAAGGAGGAGCUUGCUUCUCUGGAUGAGUUGCGAACGGGUGAGUAACGCGUAGGUAACCUGCCUGGUAGCGGGGGAUAACUAUUGGAAACGAUAGCUAAUACCGCAUAAGAGUAGAUGUUGCAUGACAUUUGCUUAAAAGGUGCAAUUGCAUCACUACCAGAUGGACCUGCGUUGUAUUAGCUAGUUGGUGGGGUAACGGCUCACCAAGGCGACGAUACAUAGCCGACCUGAGAGGGUGAUCGGCCACACUGGGACUGAGACACGGCCCAGACUCCUACGGGAGGCAGCAGUAGGGAAUCUUCGGCAAUGGACGGAAGUCUGACCGAGCAACGCCGCGUGAGUGAAGAAGGUUUUCGGAUCGUAAAGCUCUGUUGUAAGAGAAGAACGAGUGUGAGAGUGGAAAGUUCACACUGUGACGGUAUCUUACCAGAAAGGGACGGCUAACUACGUGCCAGCAGCCGCGGUAAUACGUAGGUCCCGAGCGUUGUCCGGAUUUAUUGGGCGUAAAGCGAGCGCAGGCGGUUAGAUAAGUCUGAAGUUAAAGGCUGUGGCUUAACCAUAGUACGCUUUGGAAACUGUUUAACUUGAGUGCAAGAGGGGAGAGUGGAAUUCCAUGUGUAGCGGUGAAAUGCGUAGAUAUAUGGAGGAACACCGGUGGCGAAAGCGGCUCUCUGGCUUGUAACUGACGCUGAGGCUCGAAAGCGUGGGAGCAAACAGG
RNAcentral lists this ribosomal RNA (762 nucleotides) under uncultured Streptococcus sp. Its description in RNAcentral is "bacterial SSU rRNA". It matches the Rfam family "Bacterial small subunit ribosomal RNA", at positions 28 to 776 of the family's 1533-position model. The record is from RNAcentral. Lineage: Bacteria; Bacillati; Bacillota; Bacilli; Lactobacillales; Streptococcaceae.